UGGGGAAUCUUCCGCAAUGGACGAAAGUCUGACGGAGCAACGCCUCGUGAGUGAUGAAGGCUUUCGGGUCGUAAAACUCUGUUGUUAGGGAAGAACAAGUACGAGAGUAACUGCUCGUACCUUGACGGUACCUAACCAGAAAGCCACGGCUAACUACGUGCCAGCAGCCGCGGUAAUACGUAGGUGGCAAGCGUUAUCCGGAAUUAUUGGGCGUAAAGCGCGCGCAGGCGGUUUCUUAAGUCUGAUGUGAAAGCCCACGGCUCAACCGUGGAGGGUCAUUGGAAACUGGGGAACUUGAGUGCAGAAGAGAAAAGCGGAAUUCCACGUGUAGCGGUGAAAUGCGUAGAGAUGUGGAGGAACACCAGUGGCGAAGGCGGCUUUUUGGUCUGUAACUGACGCUGAGGCGCGAAAGCGUGGGGAGCAAACA
This 427-nucleotide ribosomal RNA is filed under the name uncultured Bacillus sp. Its description in RNAcentral is "bacterial SSU rRNA". It matches the Rfam family "Bacterial small subunit ribosomal RNA", at positions 355 to 774 of the family's 1533-position model. The record is from RNAcentral. Lineage: Bacteria; Bacillati; Bacillota; Bacilli; Caryophanales; Bacillaceae.